Molecule: long non-coding RNA, 800 nt
Filed under: Homo sapiens (human)
Lineage: Eukaryota; Metazoa; Chordata; Mammalia; Primates; Hominidae
Description: PCBP1 antisense RNA 1
Source: RNAcentral
GGCCGCCAUGUUUCCUGAACACAAAAUGGCGACACGUGGUUAGCAUUCGUCGCCAACGAGAAAUUGGGGUCGGCCCGAAAGCUCUAGAAUGCACCCCUCUUCCUCCCCGGGGCCUUCCACCUCCGCGAGUUUUAUGACUUAAAAAAGCCCACAGGCUGGUCUGAAGAGGAAGACAAACAUAAAGAUGAAGUGCUUAAUUCAAGGUCACACAAUGUCGGGGAUGGACCUCCAGAUUUCCUUACUGACCUGCAUUAUCUUGUGGAUACCUGAGUGAAUUCCACACCACCCAUUUUAUAGAUGAAACCACUGAGACAUGGAGCAAUUGACUGAGUAGUCACUGCCCCACCCCUGCCUGGAGCCUCACACAUGACUCGCCUCCUCUCAGUGACCACAGGUUGGUUGAGGGGUUUAACAAGGCUAAGAAGUACUUAUCCUGUAUUACAUGAAGGAAAUGAAAUAAAAAGACUGCAGCCCCACUCCCAGCUACUCAGUGAGGUGGUAGCUAGAGACGGAGUCUUGCUAUGUUGCCCAGGCUGGUCUUGAACUCCUCACCUCAAGCGAUCCUCCCGUCUUGGCCUCCCAAGUGUCAGGAUUACGGGCAUGUGCUAUCACACCCAACCUGAUACAUUGCCUUUAUAAAUUUUUUUUUCUUUAUUCUAAAAACCAGAAAAAACAAAACUGGAUACAUGUGCAGAACAUGCAGGUUUGUUACAUAGCUGUACGUGUGCCAUGGUGGUUUGCUGCACCUAUUGACCUAUCCUGUAAGUUCCCUCCCCUCACCCCCACCCCCCAACAGCCCU